This 384-nucleotide ribosomal RNA is filed under the name uncultured bacterium. RNAcentral describes it as "bacterial SSU rRNA". It matches the Rfam family "Bacterial small subunit ribosomal RNA", at positions 29 to 414 of the family's 1533-position model. The record is from RNAcentral.
AUUGAACGCUGGCGGCAUGCCUUACACAUGCAAGUCGAACGGCAGCACGGGAGCAAUCCUGGUGGCGAGUGGCGAACGGGUGAGUAAUAUAUCGGAACGUGCCCGGGUCGUGGGGGAUAACGUAGCGAAAGCUACGCUAAUACCGCAUACGAUCUACGGAUGAAAGCGGGGGAUCGCAAGACCUCGCGCGAUUGGAGCGGCCGAUAUCAGAUUAGGUAGUUGGUGAGGUAAAGGCUCACCAAGCCGACGAUCUGUAGCUGGUCUGAGAGGACGACCAGCCACACUGGGACUGAGACACGGCCCAGACUCCUACGGGAGGCAGCAGUGGGGAAUUUUGGACAAUGGCGCAAGCCUGAUCCAGCAAUGCCGCGUGCAGGAUGAAGG